This 253-nucleotide ribosomal RNA is filed under the name uncultured bacterium. Its description in RNAcentral is "partial 16S ribosomal RNA". It matches the Rfam family "Bacterial small subunit ribosomal RNA", at positions 524 to 776 of the family's 1533-position model. The record is from RNAcentral.
GACAGAGGGUGCAAACGUUGUUCGGAAUUACUGGGCGUAAAGGGCGCGUAGGCGGCCUUCUAAGUCGAACGUGAAAUCCCCGGGCUCAACCCGGGAACUGCGUCCGAUACUGGAAGGCUUGAAUCCGGGAGAGGGAUGCGGAAUUCCAGGUGUAGCGGUGAAAUGCGUAGAUAUCUGGAGGAACACCAAUAGCGAAGGCAGCUCGCUGGGACGUUACUGACACUGAGACGCGAAAGCGUGGGGAGCGAACAGG